This is a long non-coding RNA of Schistocerca gregaria, 721 nucleotides long. RefSeq lists it as uncharacterized. Lineage: Eukaryota; Metazoa; Arthropoda; Insecta; Orthoptera; Acrididae. The record is from RefSeq and is a predicted model, not a curated record. The transcript is spliced from 3 exons.
CGGUCCCGCGGCAAGUGUGGACGACAGCGGAAGUAAUCACACUUCUUGAGAUUCCUGCUGGGUUUUGAAAACGGAUUACAGAUAAAAGCUCACACAAUAAGGCCAGCUGUCUUGAGGACCUACAGUGGCAGCCAGCAGUCGCCUCCAACUUCGCUACAAGCAGUGGGGCCCAGCUGCAGCCAACCGUCGACGACCAGAUGGAGGGGACGCCGUGCCUCACUCCACAAACAAAAAUGUGGACAAAAACCGCCCCAUUCACUGAGCUUUUGGGUACCGUUUUCCUCGGGUGCCACAGGCAAAGCGAGGACUAGCAACACGGGACGUCUUUCAGGCAAUGGAAAAGCAGACAGUUGCGGAACACUAUGGGAGGCAAGUGGAGACUCGGACUUUUCGAAAGAAGACCUCAAGGGAGAGGUUCUGGACAUUUGGAUGUACGUUCUGGAAGAAGGCAGACCUACUUGUGGUAUCGGGUGAUAUCUGACAGAGUGGGUGACAGAUUCUGGGUGGUGAACAGCUGCUAUGAGACUUUACUUUUGAGGACACUUUAGGCGGAGAUAUUGUAGAACACAGACCUGUCCGAGGUAACGUGUGAUAUUAGGUCACGUCGAUGACACACUCUGGGCGGUGAACGGCUGCUACACACUCUAUCUUUUGAAGGGACUUUGUAUUUCCAGAGGUCUGAAUGUACUUCAGUGUACAACUCUUAAUUUUUUCCGUUUGU